AGUGGCGAACGGGUGCGUAACACGUAGGAAUCUACCCAGCUGCGGGGGACAACCCGGGGAAACUCGGGCUAAUACCGCAUACGCCCUACGGGGGAAAGGUGGGGACCUCUUCGGAGGCCUGCCGCUGUUGGAUGAGCCUGCGGCCGAUUAGCUUGUUGGUAGGGUAAUGGCCUACCAAGGCGACGAUCGGUAGCUGGUCUGAGAGGAUGAUCAGCCACACUGGGACUGAGACACGGCCCAGACUCCUACGGGAGGCAGCAGUGGGGAAUAUUGGACAAUGGGCGCAAGCCUGAUCCAGCAAUGCCGCGUGUGUGAAGAAGCCUUCGGGUUGUAAAGCACUUUCAGUGGGGAAGAAAAGCCUGGGGUGAAUAGCCCCGGGUCUUGACGGUACCUACAGAAGAAGCACCGGCUAACUCCGUGCCAGCAGCCGCGGUAAUACNGGAGGGUGCAAAGCGUUAAUCGGAAUCCUGGGCGUAAAGCG
This 481-nucleotide ribosomal RNA is filed under the name uncultured Gammaproteobacteria bacterium. Its description in RNAcentral is "bacterial SSU rRNA". It matches the Rfam family "Bacterial small subunit ribosomal RNA", at positions 94 to 567 of the family's 1533-position model. Lineage: Bacteria; Pseudomonadati; Pseudomonadota; Gammaproteobacteria. The record is from RNAcentral.